This 497-nucleotide ribosomal RNA is filed under the name uncultured bacterium. Its description in RNAcentral is "partial 16S ribosomal RNA". It matches the Rfam family "Bacterial small subunit ribosomal RNA", at positions 28 to 507 of the family's 1533-position model. The record is from RNAcentral.
GAUGAACGCUGGCGGCGUGCCUAAUUCAUGCAAGUCGAGCGAACGGACGAGAAGCUUGCUUCUCUGAUGUUAGCGGCGGACGGGUGAGUAACACGUGGAUAACCUACCUAUAAGACUGGGAUAACUUCGGGAAACCGGAGCUAAUACCGGAUGAUAUUUUGAACCGCAUGGUUCAAAAGUGAAAGACGGUCUUGCUGUCACUUAUAGAUGGAUCCGCGCUGCAUUAGCUAGUUGGUAAGGUAACGGCUUACCAAGGCAACGAUGCAUAGCCGACCUGAGAGGGUGAUCGGCCACACUGGAACUGAGACCCGGUCCAGACUCCGACGGGAGGCAGCAGUAGGGAAUCUUCCGCAAUGGGCGAAAGCCUGACGGAGCAACGCCGCGUGAGUGAUGAAGGUCUUCGGAUCGUAAAACUCUGUUAUUAGGGAAGAACAUAUGUGUAAGUAACUGUGCACAUCUUGACGGUACCUAAUCAGAAAGCCACGGCUAACUACGUG